This 254-nucleotide ribosomal RNA is filed under the name uncultured bacterium. Its description in RNAcentral is "partial 16S ribosomal RNA". It matches the Rfam family "Bacterial small subunit ribosomal RNA", at positions 524 to 776 of the family's 1533-position model. The record is from RNAcentral.
UACGUAGGGUCCAAGCGUUGUCCGGAUUUACUGGGCGUAAAGAGCGCGUAGGCGGUCCGUUAAGUGUAGAGUGAAAGCUCCGGGCUCAACUCGGAAAUUGCUCUGCAUACUGGCGGACUCGAGGACGGAAGAGGUUUGUGGAAUUCCUGGUGUAGCGGUGAAAUGCGUAGAUAUCGGGAGGAACACCAGUGGCGAAGGCGACUACCUGGCCUGUUUCUUGACGCUGAGGCGCGAAAGCUAGGGGAGCAAACGGG